CCUACGGGAGGCAGCCGUGAGGAAUAUUGGUCAAUGGCCGAGAGUCUGAACCAGCCAAGUAGCGUGAAGGAUGACUGCCCUAUGGGUUGUAAACUUCUUUUAUGUGGGAAUAAAAUGUUCCACGUGUGGGAUUUUGUAUGUACCAUAUGAAUAAGGAUCGGCUAACUCCGUGCCAGCAGCCGCGGUAAUACGGAGGAUCCGAGCGUUAUCCGGAUUUAUUGGGUUUAAAGGGAGCGUAGGUGGAUUGUUAAGUGAGUUGUGAAAGUUUGCGGCUCAACCGUAAAAUUGCAGUUGAAACUGGCAGGCUUGAGUACAGUAGAGGUGGGCGGAAUUCGUGGUGUAGCGGUGAAAUGCUUAGAUAUCACGAAGAACUCCGAUUGCGAAGGCAGCUCACUGGACUGCAACUGACACUGAGGCUCGAAAGUGUGGGUAUCAAACAGGAUUAGAUACCCUGGUAGUC
This 460-nucleotide ribosomal RNA is filed under the name uncultured bacterium. RNAcentral's name for it is "partial 16S ribosomal RNA". It matches the Rfam family "Bacterial small subunit ribosomal RNA", at positions 338 to 795 of the family's 1533-position model. The record is from RNAcentral.